This 653-nucleotide ribosomal RNA is filed under the name uncultured Acidobacteriota bacterium. Its description in RNAcentral is "bacterial SSU rRNA". It matches the Rfam family "Bacterial small subunit ribosomal RNA", at positions 102 to 770 of the family's 1533-position model. Lineage: Bacteria; Pseudomonadati; Acidobacteriota. The record is from RNAcentral.
ACGGGUGAGUAACACGUAAGUAAUCUACCCUCGGGUGGGGAAUAACAACCGGAAACGGUUGCUAAUACCGCAUAAUGCAGCGGCUCCUUAUGGAGACAGUUGUUAAAGGAUUUAUUCGCCUGAGGAGGAGCUUGCGGCAAAUUAGCUAGUUGGUAAGGUAAUGGCUUACCAAGGCUACGAUCUGUAGCCGGUCUAAGAGGACGGUCGGUCACACUGACACUGAAUAACGGGUCAGACUCCUACGGGAGGCAGCAGUCGGGAAUUUUGGGCAAUGGGCGAAAGCCUGACCCAGCAACGCCGCGUGAAGGAUGAAGUAUUUCGGUAUGUAAACUUCGAAAGAAUAGGAAGAAUUAAUGACGGUACUAUUUAUAAGGUCCGGCUAACUACGUGCCAGCAGCCGCGGUAAUACGUAGGGACCAAGCGUUGUUCGGAUUUACUGGGCGUAAAGGGCGCGUAGGCGGCAUGACAAGUCACUUGUGAAAUCUCUGGGCUUAACUCAGAACGGCCAAGUGAUACUGUCGCGCUAGAGUGCAGAAAGGGCAAUCGGAAUUCUUGGUGUAGCGGUGGAAUGCGUAGAUAUCAAGAGGAACACCUGAGGCGAAGGCGGGUUGCUAGGCUGACACUGACGCUGAGGCGCGAAAGCCAGGGGAGCA